AAAAAACAAAAAAGUUAUACGUGCUUUACCCAAUUACAAAGAAACUUUGUGGUUUGAAACCACUGAGAUCUUAAGCUGAAAGUUUCAAACUCAGAAGUACUGUUAAAUUGACUAAAAAUCCAAUGUUACGCAUGAUACUGUACAUCUGUAAUUAAAACGUUAGUGACAGGGUGUGUGUGUGUGUGUCAGGAAGCUAUAUAGGGUGUGUGAGCUAUAGGUCAGCCUAAACUAUAUAGUGAGACCUUGUCUUAAAAAGAAAACCCUGACACCUGGAAUUUUUCUUGGAAAUUCUUAUUUUGCAGAUCAGAACUGGAAUCCAAUCAUCUUAUCCCCACAUGAUACCAGUGACUUUGGUGCACAAUUCUAAGUCUAGGGAUCACACCUUUAAGCAUUCCUGGUCUAGGUUGUAAAGAACACAAGACUGUCUUUGAAAAUGUUUUCUCAAAACAUAAAGCGUAUGAAACUAAGGCAUUACGUUAUUGUAUCUGAAGGACAGUAUGAACGUGUUCACAUGCAAUGUUGUCCAAAACACUUCUGUGACAAAAACCUUCCCCUUUCUGUGCUGUCCAAUAUGGACUCUACCAUCAGGUGCAUAGCUGAAGUGUGGUGAAUGCAACUGAAGGUGUGCAAUUUUCAUUAACUGAGAUGGUCACAUAACUAGUCGAUACUGAUGCUUCAUGAGUCAAACCAUGGGUUUAUUUGGGAGGGUGACCUCUCUAAUUACUGCUAAGAAGUUAAGGAUUGGGUACAGACAUAAGAAAGCUCAGGUACAUCUGAAAGUCUUCGUUGGCUUUGGAGAUGAGGUUGUCACAACCUACAGAGGAAGGAACUCCUGAGGAGAAUUCAGUGUGAUCGUCCCAGCCCCUAGCUAAUGACAGUGGAAACAAAGGCCUAAGGCUUUGGUCUCUCAGGAGAAUGCCGCUGCCACAGGGCCAUCUGUGUCUGGAUAUUACUGAGGUGAUAGAAUGCUUAUUUUCGGACAGGAUUUCCAGAGCCUGUGGUAGGCUUAGAGGUAGGAGGAGGUAAGGGCCCAGGCCCUUUCUGACCACUGGCAGGUGGUACAGGCCCUUUCUUUUUUGGGAUUAAAAUCUUGUUCUUGCUCUUGAACACUUUGCUGGGGUCUAGCUUGUUCACAAAGUUGUCGGACUCUUCUGUGAGCAGGCUUGUGUUGUAGGUGAUGGGUUUGUACAUACUGAACCAUUGCUGUAAGGCACAAAUAGAGUCUCAGUUGGAAGGAGAAAUGGGGGAGAGCAGGCGACAGUACAGACAUUACAAAUUAACUAUCACUAACCUACAUUUUUUUUCAGUGUCAACUGGUAAAGUACAUGCGAUUAUUUCAAAAUUGAAAAUGCUGUAAAAUAUAAAACAUUUUUGGUCCAGUACAUUUCAGUGAUGUAAUAUUGAACUUAUACACAUUUUUAUGAAAAACUGCCUUGAAAAUUUAUGAGCACUGGAACAGUAAGUGGUGAGGGAUGCCAUCAACCCUUGGUCAAGCACAUAAGGUGCUUUUUAAGGCCUUUAAAAUAAAGGUACUAUGAGAACUAAGGAGCCAAGUAUACUUAUUGGUGCCUUAGAACUAGUGAGCCUGCCAAGGACACUGUCCUGCUUGCCAUCAAUGCACACGGUGCCCAGUAUGGGUAUUGCAACAGAGGUCCGUGCAGAACUUUCCUAUGGGAAGCGGUGUGCUGGUACUCUAUACCUGCAGUGAUUUGGUUUUGUUUUUGUUUUUGUUUUUUUAAUAAUUAUAGCUAUUGGGGAAAGGGGCUGCCACAUAUUUUGCCAUGAUUUGAUCAAAACCAGUUCACACCACAUUACAUGGAAGCUGUAAUUAUGAAAAUCUGUGAGAACAAUGAGGCCAGCUAGUAUAGAUACAGUGGGAGUUUUUGAUGACUAAGUGCUAUAAGAAAUCACUGUGAUUUUUCUUUAAACCACACCAGUUCGCUCUGGUCUAAAGUUCUGGCCAGCGCUUGGCAUUUUCAAGGCACGUUCUAUAAAUCUCUGAAAUGAUGCCCAAAUCUGUAACAUAUAGAAGACAGCUCUAUGGGUACUCCGCAAUGGAGCACUAAGGCAAAACCAAGAGUGCAGAAUUGCUAUAUCUGUGUUAGUAAAAAUAUAAAAAGAAACAUGC
This 2128-nucleotide long non-coding RNA is filed under the name Mus musculus (house mouse). RNAcentral describes it as "long non-coding RNA chr18:25137936-25140064". The record is from RNAcentral. Lineage: Eukaryota; Metazoa; Chordata; Mammalia; Rodentia; Muridae.